Non-coding RNA from Pseudopodoces humilis (Tibetan ground-tit), 262 nucleotides. The record is from RefSeq and is a predicted model, not a curated record. NCBI's taxonomy places the organism in Eukaryota, Metazoa, Chordata, Aves, Passeriformes, Paridae.
GCGGCGGCGGAGCCGGAGGGGCCGGGGGAGCCCCGAGGCCGCGGGUCCCCCCGUGGCCGAGACGGAGCCGGAGGAGAUGGAAGCACCGGGAUGCACCGGCCCAGCGUGGCUGGUGGUCCCCAAGGUGGAGAUGACCCCCGAGGGUGAUGGGGAUGAUGCAGGGGACCCGGAGCUCCACGGCUCAGGGCAGUGGCUGGUGCGGAAGGUGAAGGUGGAGGACGAAGAUGAGGCCGAGGCCUGGGCAGCUGCGGUCGGAACCGAG